UACAGAGGUCUCAAGCGUUGUUCGGAUUCAUUGGGCGUAAAGGGUGCGUAGGCGGCGCGGUAAGUCGGGUGUGAAAUCUUGGAGCUUAACUCCGAAACUGCAUUCGAUACUGCCGUGCUUGAGGACUGGAGAGGAGACUGGAAUUUACGGUGUAGCGGUGAAAUGCGUAGAUAUCGGGAGGAACACCAAUGGCGAAGGCAGCUCGCUGGGACGUGACUGACGCUGAGACGCGAAAGCGUGGGGAGCAAACAGG
This 253-nucleotide ribosomal RNA is filed under the name uncultured bacterium. RNAcentral describes it as "partial 16S ribosomal RNA". It matches the Rfam family "Bacterial small subunit ribosomal RNA", at positions 524 to 776 of the family's 1533-position model. The record is from RNAcentral.